GCAAACUUGGUCAUUUAGAGGAAGUAAAAGUCGUAACAAGGUUUCCGUAGGUGAACCUGCGGAAGGAUCAUUAUCGAAUUGUAACAAUCUCUGCUGUCGCUGGCCCUCUCUGGGGGCAUGUGCACGCUAGAUUUAACACUCUUCACUUUAUUCUCCUGUGCACCUUUGUGGUUCCGUCUUUGAGAUAUUUCUCUUUCGAGCUAGCCCUCGGUUUUGAGCUUUGCCCCUAACACGCGCUCCGCUCUCCAUCUCACUUCGGUCCAUGUCUUUUUCUACACACUUUAUUUAUACAACCUAGAAUGCUUAAUCGUUGGGAACUUUUGUACCCUUCUUAACCUUAUACAACUUUCAACAACGGAUCUCUUGGCUCUCGCAUCGAUGAAGAACGCAGC
RNAcentral lists this unclassified non-coding RNA (392 nucleotides) under uncultured fungus. RNAcentral describes it as "partial contains small subunit ribosomal RNA, internal transcribed spacer 1, and 5.8S ribosomal RNA". The stretch from base 1 to 73 matches the Rfam family "Eukaryotic small subunit ribosomal RNA", at positions 1759 to 1831 of the family's 1831-position model. Lineage: Eukaryota; Fungi. The record is from RNAcentral.